CUGGAGGUAUCAGAAGUGCGAAUGCUGACAUAAGUAACGAUAAAGCGGGUGAAAAGCCCGCUCGCCGGAAGACCAAGGGUUCCUGUCCAACGUUAAUCGGGGCAGGGUGAGUCGACCCCUAAGGCGAGGCCGAAAGGCGUAGUCGAUGGGAAACGGGUUAAUAUUCCCGUACUUGGUGUUACUGCGAAGGGGGGACGGAGAAGGCUAUGUUGGCCGGGCGACGGUUGUCCCGGUUUAAGCGUGUAGGUGUGUGUUCCAGGUAAAUCCGGUUCACUUUAACACUGAGGCGUGACGACGAGGCACUACGGUGCUGAAGCAACAAAUGCCCUGCUUCCAGGAAAAGCCUCUAAGCAUCAGGUAACAUCAAAUCGUACCCCAAACCGACACAGGUGGUCAGGUAGAGAAUACCAAGGCGCUUGAGAGAACUCGGGUGAAGGAACUAGGCAAAAUGGUGCCGUAACUUCGGGAGAAGGCACGCUGACACGUAGGUGAAGUGAUUUACUCACGGAGCUGAAGUCAGUCGAAGAUACCAGCUGGCUGCAA
This 543-nucleotide ribosomal RNA is filed under the name Salmonella enterica subsp. enterica serovar Braenderup. Its description in RNAcentral is "partial 23S ribosomal RNA". It matches the Rfam family "Bacterial large subunit ribosomal RNA", at positions 1273 to 1799 of the family's 2925-position model. The record is from RNAcentral. Lineage: Bacteria; Pseudomonadati; Pseudomonadota; Gammaproteobacteria; Enterobacterales; Enterobacteriaceae.